AGAGUUUGAUCCUGGCUCAGGGAUGAACGCUGGCGGCGCGCCUAACACAUGCAAGUCGAACGAGAAGCACCUCUUCGGAGGUGUGGAUAGUGGCGAACGGCUGAGUAACACGUGGGCAACCUGCCCCUCUCAUCGGGAUAGCCUCGGGAAACCGGGGAUAAUACCGGAUACUCCGACGCUUUCGCAUGGAAGCGUUGGGAAAGCUCUGGCGGAGAGGGAUGGGCCCGCGGCCUGUUAGCUAGUUGGCGGGGUAACGGCCCACCAAGGCUUCUAUGGGUAGCCGGGUUGAGAGACCGACCGGCCAGAUUGGGACUGAGACACGGCCCAAACUCCUACGGGAGGCUGCAGUGGGGAAUAUUGCACAAUGGGCGCAAGCCUGAUGCAGCGACGCCGCGUGAGGGAUGACGGCCUUCGGGUUGUAAACCGCUUUCAGCAGGGAAGAGGCCGCUCAUUGACGUUACCCGCAGAAGAAGCACCGGCUAACUACGUGCCAGCAGCCGCGGUAAUACGUAGGGUGCAAGCGUUAUCCGGAAUUAUUGGGCGUAAAGGGCUCGUAGGCGGUUCGUGCGUCCGGUGUGAAAGUCCAUCGCUUAACGGUGGAUCCGCGCCGGGUACGGGCGGGCUUGAGUGCGGUAGGGGAGACUGGAAUUCCCGGUGUAACGGUGGAAUGUGUAGAUAUCGGGAAGAACACCAAUGGCGAAGGCAGGUCUCUGGGCCGUUACUGACGCUGAGGAGCGAAAGCGUGGGGAGCGAACAGGAUUAGAUACCCUCUAGUAGUCCACGCCGUAAACGAUGAGUACUAAGUGUUGGAAGUCAAAUUUCAGUGCUGCAGUUAACGCAGUAAGUACUCCGCCUGAGUAGUACGUUCGCAAGAAUGAAACUCAAAGGAAUUGACGGGGGCCCGCACAAGCGGCGGAGCAUGCGGAUUAAUUCGAUGCAACGCGAAGAACCUUACCAGGUCUUGACAUACUCAUAAAUGUUCCAGAGAUGGAAAGAUAGCUAUAUGAGAUACAGGUGGUGCAUGGUUGUCGUCAGCUCGUGCCGGGAGAUGUUGGGUUAAGUCCCGCAACGAGCGCAACCCUUGUCGUUAGUUACCAUCAUUAAGUUGGGGACUCUAGCGAGACUGCCAGUGACAAGCUGGAGGAAGGCGGGGAUGACGUCAAAUCAUCAUGCCCCUUAUGACCUGGGCUACACACGUGCUACAAUGGAUGGUGCAGAGGGAAGCGAAGCCGCGAGGCGAAGCAAAACCCAUAAAACCAUUCUCAGUUCGGAUUGUAGUCUGCAACUCGACUACAUGAAGUUGGAAUCGCUAGUAAUCGCGAAUCAGCAUGUCGCGGUGAAUACGUUCUCGGGCCUUGUACACACCGCCCGUCAAG
This 1376-nucleotide ribosomal RNA is filed under the name human gut metagenome. Its description in RNAcentral is "bacterial SSU rRNA". It matches the Rfam family "Bacterial small subunit ribosomal RNA". The record is from RNAcentral.